GUGCCAGCAGCCGCGGUAAUACGGAGGGUGCAAGCGUUAUCCGGAUUCACUGGGUUUAAAGGGUGCGUAGGCGGGCUUGUAAGUCAGUGGUGAAAGCCCGGGGCUCAACUCCGGAACUGCCGUUGAUACUGCAAGUCUUGAGUACGGUUGAGGUGGGCGGAAUACAUCAUGUAGAGGUGAAAUUCUUAGAUAUGAUGUAGAACACCGAUUGCGAAGGCAGCUCACUAAAGCGUAACUGACGCUGAGGCACGAAAGCAUGGGGAUCAAACAGGAUUAGAUACCCUUGUAGUCC
This 292-nucleotide ribosomal RNA is filed under the name uncultured bacterium. Its description in RNAcentral is "partial 16S ribosomal RNA". It matches the Rfam family "Bacterial small subunit ribosomal RNA", at positions 505 to 796 of the family's 1533-position model. The record is from RNAcentral.